UUCGGUACAUCUCACUCAUGCUCAAGGGCAAAACAAUUUGAAAUCGUGUGUACUCGCACUGAUUUCGCCCUUGAGGGGCAAGGUGGAGUGAGGUAGCUGUCUAGUAUCUAACUGUGACUGGAGUUACAACGCAGACUAGUCACAUUUGACAUGAGAAAUCGUGAGUGUUGUCAGACACGAUAAAAUUAAGGUUACUCGUUACCACUAAUAACGGGAGCAGCUCAUGUCUGCAAGAAAGAAACUUGAGUACGAUCUUCUUAAGAGAGGUAUAUAUAAAUAGGAAACGAUUAUACUUAACCGACGCAGUUGCAGUAUCCGUCGCAACCAGUCCGUGAUUAAGAAGGUCACAUUAUUCCUUUGCUAUAUUAUGUGUUAAACCUUCUGACUCAGCUCACAUAAACCUUUCGCAACUCCUCAUUCACUAAAGAAUAUACAUUUUCUAGAGAAUGGAUAUUGGCAACCUUAUCCAGGCCCCAGAAAAUAAAAUGCAGUUUAAUAGA
Molecule: long non-coding RNA, 500 nt
Organism: Hermetia illucens (black soldier fly)
Lineage: Eukaryota; Metazoa; Arthropoda; Insecta; Diptera; Stratiomyidae
Exons: 2
Source: RefSeq, a predicted model, not a curated record